Molecule: transfer RNA, 64 nt
Filed under: Curculionoidea sp. 29 KM-2017
Lineage: Eukaryota; Metazoa; Arthropoda; Insecta; Coleoptera
Description: tRNA-Tyr
Source: RNAcentral
AAUGAAGUGGCCGAGAUUAGGCGAUAAAUUGUAAAUUUAUUCACAAGAAUAAUCUUCUUCAUUA